This is a non-coding RNA of Caenorhabditis elegans, 21 nucleotides long. The record is from Ensembl. Lineage: Eukaryota; Metazoa; Nematoda; Chromadorea; Rhabditida; Rhabditidae.
UAUUGGUCUCUAUGCUUUUAC